Molecule: ribosomal RNA, 453 nt
Filed under: uncultured bacterium
Lineage: Bacteria
Description: bacterial SSU rRNA
Rfam family: Bacterial small subunit ribosomal RNA
Source: RNAcentral
AACCAGACUCCUACGGGAGGCAGCAGUAGGGAAUUUUCGGCAAUGGGGGGAACCCUGACCGAGCAACGCCGCGUGAACGAAGAAGUUAUUCGUAAUGUAAAGUUCUUUUAUCAGGGAAGAAAGAGGAAUUUGACGGUACCUGAGGAAUAAGCUCCGGCUAACUACGUGCCAGCAGCCGCGGUAAUACGGGGGAUGCGAGCGUUAUCCGGAUUUAUUGGGUUUAAAGGGUGCGUAGGCGGCGCUUCAGGUCAGCGGUGAAAUACCGGGGCUCAACCCCGGGGCUGCCGUUGAAACCGGAGCGCUAGAAUUCCGAUGCCGUCGGAGGAAUGUGUGGUGUAGCGGUGAAAUGCAUAGAUAUCACACAGAACACCGAUUGCGAAGGCAUCUGACGAAUCGGAGAUUGACGCUGAUGCACGAAAGCGUGGGUAUCGAACAGGAUUAGAUACCCCCGUA